RNAcentral lists this ribosomal RNA (253 nucleotides) under uncultured bacterium. RNAcentral describes it as "partial 16S ribosomal RNA". It matches the Rfam family "Bacterial small subunit ribosomal RNA", at positions 524 to 776 of the family's 1533-position model. The record is from RNAcentral.
UACGUAGGGUGCGAGCGUUAAUCGGAAUUACUGGGCGUAAAGCGUGCGCAGGCGGCUUUGCAAGACAGAUGUGAAAUCCCCGGGCUCAACCUGGGAACUGCAUUUGUGACUGCAAGGCUAGAGUACGGCAGAGGGGGAUGGAAUUCCGAGUGUAGAGGUGAAAUUCGUAGAUAUGCGGAGGAACACCAAUGGCGAAGGCAAUCCCCUGGGCCUGUACUGACGCUCAUGCACGAAAGCGUGGGGAGCAAACAGG